GCCCAGGGCACUUAGACUUUUAGGGACCUUUCAUUGGAUUAGCAAUAAACCAUAAACGAGUUAGUAUAAUCUCAAUUAAAUUAAUACUUCCUCUAUUCAGUUUACCACUGACAUCUAUGUGAUCUAAUCUAAAUCUACUAUGGUAGUAAUAUAAUAAUUAUUAAUAAACUAAUAAUAACAUUGGCUCAUAGGACCUAGAGGCAUGAGUAGGGGUAUGAACAGAUGUUUUCCUUUGCCUUCAGAAUUGCACAGGUGUCCAACAACAUUGUAAAGAUACAAGAAGGGGCCAGUUUAAGGACAAGUGCCCUGGGGUGACCAAUAAAUAGCUCUGCUUGCAUAAAUAUUUUGCUGUUUUGUAGUUUUUUUAAAAAAAUCAGUAAUUGAAAUUAGGUCUCGUGGAAAAUUGUGCAUCUUUUUUCUCCAGACUUUCUUAGAAAGACUCAAGUGUUUUCAGUGCUCUCCCCAAAGCCAGAUUUUGAGCUCUCUCUUUUGAGUUGCUGCCUCACUACUCCCUUACCUAAUGUUUCUGAUAAGAACAGUGGAAUAUUGUAUUAGGAUUCUUUUGUAGUCCUUUUGAAGCUCUUUAAUAAAAAUUUCUUUUAAAAAGUAUUCCAUUUUCAGUACACAUAACAAGAUGAAGUAUUCAGUAUUUCAUAAAGUACUUUAUGAUUUGCAAAGAACAUUCAUGGCCAUUGCCUCAUUUAAAUACUUAAAGCAAAUUUGUCAGAUAGACAAAGCAGGUCACCCCAUAAGACAGAUGAAGCUGAAACCACAGGUGGUAAAUGACCCAGGUCUUCUGACUCCUAAUCUAGUACUCUUUCCUUACUUCAACUUGCUCCUUGACCAAAUGUCAAUGAAAGGGUUCCAUUUAAAUAUGAAUUCUUGGGUUUUCGUAUUUGAUAUUAACCAUGUGAAACUUUGUAGGUCAUUAGAACUUUCAGGGCUAAUCAGGGGGACAGUCAGUAAUUGAUAACAGUCUACCUCCGGUAAUUGACUUUACUUUCUCUUCCUGUGUAUGUUCUGGGUCUCACAAGUACAAGAUCAAGUGUAAAUGAAGUAAGGGGAGGCUUUGUCACUAAACAAACACUUAACUGAUUGCUGCUGGAUGAUAAGCAUAUGAUAAGUGGCAGCUUCAAAGAACAUUUCAACACGAUAUGAAAGGAGAUUCUUGAUUCAAGAUUAGAAGAUUUUGGAGUUCCCUGGUGGCUCAGUGGAUUAAGGAUCCAGCAUUAUCACUGCUGUGGCUUGGGUCACUGACAAGGCACAGGUUUGCUCUCUGGCCUGGGAACUUCCCCAUGUUGUGGGAGUGGCCAAAAAAAAAAAAGGUUGUAGGAUUUAAACACCUUCAUUAAUGGGAACUUCGUGGGACUACACACACUUGAGGUCACUUCUUCCUAGGACUUUGGUGCUCUGAUGUUCAUGUGUCAUCCCACAAGAGCAGUGUUAGCUCCAUAUAUUCCAUGUAUGCAACCGUGUUGCCCAAAGUUGUGAACUCUAACACCAUUGUGUUUAUUUUUAUGAGAAUUAGGUCAAGAUUAGCCUAAGCAGAGGCAACAAAUAACUUCAGAUCACAAGCGAAAUGGGAAAUGAAAUGUGUUUUAUACUGAAUCUUUACAGAUGGAUUUUGCAAAGAACAGUUCAUUAACUGUAUGCCCAACUGGGAAUACAUUUUUAAUGAUUUGCAGGUAGUCUAGAGAAAAGCUAAAUUAAAAAAUUGCAGCCCCAACUGCUCCUCUAAAAUGGGCUAAGAACUAUAGCUAUGAAUUAAAAUAACUUGUGAAUUUUUCUAACCAAAAUAAAAAUACCAGUUAUGAAAUAUUUCUUUUACUCAUUGCCAAUUCUUUAAUAGUCCAUUAGGUAUUUCUAGGAGGUGGAGCAGUUGAAAUGAAAAUUGGAGCUCAGAAAUCUGAAAAGCCAAAAUUUUGGAUAAACUGGCUGAGGAGAGAUAGAACUGGGUUGAAAGGAGGCUUUUUCUGUGGUAGAUUUGCCUUCAAACUGGGCAUAUGUUUCAUUUGGAUAAGUCUUUGAAAGUUCCAGGAAUCACUGAAAAAAAGAGACUUGAAGGAACUUAGAACUAGUUUAAUUCUACUGCAGCCUAAGAGUAGGCCACUUAAUGGGGAAGGCAUUCAGUUGCUUCUAUAUGACUUAGCUAACUCCACUGUCCUUUGCAGAUUAAAAGCUGAGCAGCUCAACUUGAUUAAAGAAUCUGCUCUUUUAACCCACUCCUCCACUUGAGACCCUUGUUACUUGAAACUGGGUUUCUUAUAUGCUACUUCUCUUUUUCCUAACCCAGAAGUUAUUGAUUGAAUGUGUUGUUCUUUAUGUCAUUGUUUAUAGGGAAAGCUAGUCUUUAUCCUGUUUCAUUUCCACUUCCUAGGCCAACAUUUAAGAACAUUUAAAUCUUUCUGUUGCUUAUGCUGGACAUGCUGGUAAUAACAUGGUAAGUAGUUAUAUGAUGAGUAAUUGUGUGUCCAGCAGUAAAGCUGAAUAUAGUUUUAUUUGUAUAUAUUUUCCUCUAGGUGUUUCAUAGGAGUGAUUUUCAGUUCCCAGGUCCUUUUCAGAACUGGCCUUAAAAAAAAACCUCCAAAAACAAAACAAUACAAAAAUACCAAAAAACCCUUAACUACAAUGAAAGCAGUUCAUUUACAGGGACCCCUUCUUCUAUGACUCCACUUAUAACACAGAUGCUGGCAUGGUAUUUAUACCUACCUAAAAAGAAGAUGCACUCAUAUCUUUUUUGUACCUAGAGAUUUUAUUUUAGGAAAAAGUAAAAAAGAAAUCAAAUUUCCUUGAGGCAAAAAUUGGAAAUCUGACUUUAAUCAGGGUUCUUCAAACUACUAAUUACCUGAAGAAAAAAAUGAGAUAGAAUCAUGGAAUGUUAGUGCUAAACACUAUUUAGUUUGGUCUCUUUACUCAAGAGUCAGAGAAACUUGGGGCCCUAUUGGCCAGCCAGUUCUCUAGUAGGUUAUACAGAUGGGUAGCGGGAAGUCUGUGGGGAUUUCUCUCAAUUCAGAGUGAUUCUGUUGAACCCUGUGUGUUUGGUUGGAUUUGGCUUAGGAAGUGGUGAAAGAAGGGAGGCUAAGGAAAAACAACCCAUGACAGGUUUAUGGCCAGCUCGUUAAAUUAAAUCCUUUGCUUGACACUGUAUUGCUUUCUUUGCUGGGUGUGGAUUGACAGGUAUUGAUGAAAUGCCUUAGGUUCUAAUUCAAAAUGCUGGGUGACAAAAAUUGUAACUUUGACAGGUUGAGGUUAUCAACAAGCCGCAGGGUGAGUGUAGGGACUCCAGGCUGUAGCAGCCAUUAUACUGUCUGUAGCGAGCCUCUGUGCUUUAAUGGGGAUGCACUUGAUCUCUUCACCCCCAAAGAGUAGAUUAAGUGCUUCAGUAAAUAUGCCAUUAAGAUACUUCAUUGUACUAAGCCAUUAAUACACACCUCAGAUAGGCCUUCAGCCACCCAAGAAGCAUUUGAACGGCCUAGAAAAACACCUAAUGCUGUAUCUACUUUGACAUUUCAUUAUUAAAUACAAUUUCAAAAUUUUGGGAAGUAAUUUUUCUACUGCUUUGAAUAAAGUCAGAGUGGGGAAAAUAGCAAAUUCCUUUCCAAUCUACUCUAAAUGACUUCCUCUGCCACCACAUCACUUUGUGGUGGUCCUAACUACAUUAAUUCCUUGACCAUGGGCCUGAGUCAGGCUUAAGGUUUCAGAGUAUCUUUUUAGAACCAGCUAAGCUUCUGUAACAUUUCAUUUUCUUAUUGAAGAAGCUAAAUGAGAAGCAUUUUAGAGAUGUUUGCUAUGGUGUACUAUUUGUGUUUGUUCUCUGCUAUUUUAUUUCUUAUGUUUCUGGACAUAAUUCUUAACAAUAGUAGAAUAACAUGGUAAUAGAAUUAAUUUUAAACCACAUUGGACCCGGGAGAUCAUUUAACUCUUCAUUUUAUUUGUUUUUUAUUUUAUUUUAUUUUGUUUUUUGUUUUUUCUAGGACCGCACCUGUGGCAUAUGGAGGUUCCCAGACUAGGGGUUUAAUCGGAGCUGUAGCCACCGGCCUAUGACAGAGCCACAGUAAUGCAGGAUCUGAGCCACGUCUGCGACCUACACCACGGCUCACGGCAACGCUGAAUCCUUAACCCACUGAGCAAGGCUAGGGAUUGAACCCGAAACCUCAUGGUUCCUAGUUGGAUUUGUUAACCACUGAGCCAUGAUGGGAGCUCCCUAACUCUUUAUUUUAGAGGUGAAGAAAUUGUAGGUAAAAAAUGUGAAGGUACUGUUAUUUGUGUUGCCUUUGUGGUCUUAAAGAAAUUUGGUAGCUACAGCUUAAUUCUUUUCUUAAAACUAUAAACUUAUUUAUCCUCUCUAAUCCCUCGUCAUGAUUUGGUUUUCAUCACCUCUUAGUGAUUGAUAUGACAUUUUGGUUAAGAAAACUUAGGUACAAAAAAAUUAUUUUCACAAAGUCAGAGAUCAAGAUUAGGUAGAGGAAAAACCUGGUGUUGAAUUCUGGGACUUCUGAUAUACCCUGAAAAUUUUGUAAGACAGUCCUUCAAAUGUUUUACGUGGAGUGAUAACAUUGACUUACUAAAUUCAGAUAAUUUUGUAACUCCUUUGUCUUUUUUGGGGGGAAGAGGUGGUUAUGACUGAUUUCAGUGAAAGACUGACAUUAGGCUGAAUUGACAGGCAAUCAUGUAUAUCACGCAUAUCAGUAUAGGAAAAGCGUUGUCCAUGGAAGACUUCUUUGAAAGGGGCCUUGUGGUACCAGUCUCCAAUAGUAUAAGAAGUUGUCUACCUCAGCUCUAGAACCAUGAGAUGAUCUUGUUGUAUCCUAUAGAUUUGUCACUUACUAAGCUGGGAUUUAGUAACUUUUUUUUAUCAUCACUUAUAGCUUAAACAAAACAAAUGCCCCUGCUCUUAGACAAACAAAUCCUUUCUUCCUAAUUAGCUUUCAGGAUAUACUUUACCUGAAGAAUGAGCAGGUAUUAGGUAUUAUUAUUCAGAACAAAAAUAGUUAUGCACCAAGAAAUCAUGAGACUGUAGAUGAUUUUUUACAGUAAACAAAGUGUUACUUUUCAAUUUUAAAAAUAUCAGACAUAAAAACAAACAAAAAAGACUUCUUGUGGUGAUUUUAUUUUCUGAUCAGAUCCCUUUUUAGUGCUCGCAUAAGACCAUGUAUCUUAAUACUACCACUGAAUUUCAUUUCUCUUCAAGCUUAUAAAAUUUCAGGAAUCCGAGACACCAGGAUAGACAGCCACAUCAACCUUUUGAAAACGUUGUAAUACUUAUUUUCCCUGUCUUUUCCACUAUAUCUUAAGUUCUCCCAGGUCAGAGACCAUGUCUCCUUCAUCAUUGUAUCUCUAGUUCCUAGAACAGUGGUGUACUCAGUAUCUUUUGGAUGAAUCUGUGAAUUAAAUUCUGUAAUCCUGUGUACCUUCUGAGUUUCUUCUGGGUAGGAUAAAAUUCCAGUUCUAAGUGUAUACAACAGGGUAGUGUCCUAAAAUGGCAUCAAGCUUAGUCACAUAUAACUUGAUCCAGCUGUUAAAUAAACAGGCAGGACGCUGUGAGGUAUAGUAAACAGCAGAGUACGUGCCUUCUCCAUGCUGAUGACAUGGUUUUAUUAACACAAACCAGGAUUUUCCUUUAGAAGCUGCAGAACCUGUUGCCUACUUACUGUCAGAACAGUUUACCAUCAACUGUGCUACAACGAAAACCAUUGUAUUUGACAGACAUUCUCCAGUAUUUAAAUGAACAAUACUAAGUAACCCCAUACAACAGGUCAACUCAUUCAGCUAUUGGAAUGUAUAUUUUGCAGCCAACCUACCCGGGUGGGUCCAUGGGGAUACA
Molecule: long non-coding RNA, 5824 nt
Filed under: Sus scrofa (pig)
Lineage: Eukaryota; Metazoa; Chordata; Mammalia; Artiodactyla; Suidae
Description: lncRNA (ENSSSCG00060035016.1)
Source: RNAcentral